This 840-nucleotide ribosomal RNA is filed under the name Dendrostoma dispersum. RNAcentral's name for it is "LSU rRNA". It matches the Rfam family "Eukaryotic large subunit ribosomal RNA", at positions 69 to 939 of the family's 3401-position model. The record is from RNAcentral. Lineage: Eukaryota; Fungi; Ascomycota; Sordariomycetes; Diaporthales; Erythrogloeaceae.
CAGGGAUUGCCCUAGUAACGGCGAGUGAAGCGGCAACAGCUCAAAUUUGAAAUCUGGCUUCGGCCCGAGUUGUAAUUUGCAGAGGAUGUUUCUGGCGCGGUGCCUUCCGAGUUCCCUGGAACGGGACGCCACAGAGGGUGAGAGCCCCGUAUGGUUGGACACCAAGCCUGUGUGAAACUCCUUCGACGAGUCGAGUAGUUUGGGAAUGCUGCUCAAAAUGGGAGGUAAAUCUCUUCUAAAGCUAAAUACCGGCCAGAGACCGAUAGCGCACAAGUAGAGUGAUCGAAAGAUGAAAAGCACCUUGAAAAGGGGGUUAAACAGUACGUGAAAUUGUUGAAAGGGAAGCACUUGUGACCAGACUUGUGCCGGGCGGUUCAUCCGGGGUUCUCCCCGGUGCACUCCGCCCGGUAUAGGCCAGCAUCGGUUCUCUCUGGGGGAUAAGAACGGUGGGAACGUGGCCCUCCCUCGGGAGGGUGUUAUAGCCCGCCGUACGAUACCCUGGAGGGGACCGAGGUUCGCGCUCCGCAAGGAUGCUGGCGUAAUGGUCACCAGUGACCCGUCUUGAAACACGGACCAAGGAGUCGUCCAUUAGAGCGAGCGUUUGGGUGUCAAACCCGCACGCGUAAUGAAAGUGAAAUUAGGUGAGAGCUUCGGCGCAUCAUCGACCGAUCCUGAUGUUCUCGGAUGGAUUUGAGUAAGAGUUUUAACGGACGGACCCGAAAGACAGUGAACUAUGCUUGUAUAGGGUGAAGCCAGAGGAAACUCUGGUGGAGGCUCGCAGCGGUUCUGACGUGCAAAUCGAUCGUCAAAUAUGAGCAUGGGGGCGAAAGACUAAUCGAA